RNAcentral lists this ribosomal RNA (1077 nucleotides) under Triticum aestivum (bread wheat). RNAcentral describes it as "partial small subunit ribosomal RNA". The record is from RNAcentral. Lineage: Eukaryota; Viridiplantae; Streptophyta; Magnoliopsida; Poales; Poaceae.
CACCCCCACCAUCGACGACCCUCACCAUAGAAGAGGUUGAGCUCGUCCUCCCCUCUCCCUCCCAUGGAUCUCUCUCGCCCCUCUCGAAGCUCCCGCAUCCCACCCUGCACCCUCCCCCUUCUACUCCCAAACCCCGCGGCCCGGAUCAGAUUCCUCAAAUUCUGAUCUACCAGAUCGAAGCGGAGUGGGGGCGGGUGCGAGCUCGUUGGUGCUAGGCGGCCGCACGGCGGGGUCGCUGCUAGGGGCCAUGCUCAUGGUGCUCUUCAACGUCAUCAGCGCCGACGAGGCCUACGCUGCCGUAGACCAUGUCCCAGCCGCGUCGCCCGGACGGCUCCGUUCUUCCUGACGUGGCCAUCUGUGACGCGCACUGCUGCCACCCGGUGAAGCCUGCCUCCAUCAAUGGUGACGCCAAGGCGCCUAACGGCGUCGAGAUCCACCAGCAGUGGGGCAACGUGAACGACAGGGUGACGACCAAGGAGGAGGACGAGUAUUGUCGCUUCAAGUUCAACUCGGCGGAGGGUGAUGACUUGUACCUGGUUUUUUGCCGUGGCCACUGCCCUGGCUUAGAUAGGAAAUCUUCUUCUUUUGUUUGCGAUGUUGUUGGGCUGGUUGUGGCCUCGUGUGCGGCAGCAACGGCCUCCCUCCUGUAACCUCUAUCGAUGGCCAUGGCAUGGCGACCUCCACGGACGAGGAAAGGAGAGGAGGACAAGAAGUCCCUGACGCCAAGUACUCCUCAGGGUCCCAACACAAGGACAAGCAGCGGCAACAACAUCUUCUUCCAUUCAGCCCAAGGACAAGCAGCAGCAGCGACCAUAUCAGAUGCAGACAUGUAGGGGAGGACGAUGAUGCUCAACAACAGUAGCAGCUCAAGGCGGCGGUGCUGAUUAGAUUUGAUCCUCAAGGACACCCAUGGAUCUUGAUGCAUGUGGUGGGUUUUGGAGAACCAACUUGAGAUGCAGGAGGUGGGUUCUUGAGCUGUGCUCUGCUCGAGCAGGAGGGGUUUGCUCCUUUGCUCCUAGGGCGACCAAGAGGUCUUGCCCUGAGCUGAAGCACGUCCAUGCCGACCCACCACGACAG